RNAcentral lists this ribosomal RNA (128 nucleotides) under Karenia brevis. Its description in RNAcentral is "partial 5.8S ribosomal RNA". Lineage: Eukaryota; Dinophyceae; Gymnodiniales; Kareniaceae. The record is from RNAcentral.
GCAAAGAAGAAGGACGCCGACAAGGAUAAGCCAAAGCCGAAAGGUGCUCCCACCAAAAAGCAAGAUUCCUCAAGCAGCGAUUCCUCGAGCGAAAGUGGCAGCGACUCGGAAUCAUCUAAGGACUCGUC